GCUGGCGGUAUGCUUAACACAUGCAAGUCGAACGCGAACGGUACUUCGGUACUUAUUAGAGUGGCGGACGGGUGAGUAACGCGUGGGAAUCUACCUAGUAGUUGGGGACAACCUGGUGAAAACCAGGCUAAUACCGAAUACGCCCUACGGGGGAAAGAUAGCCUCUUCUUGAAAGCUUUCGCUAUUAGAUGAGCCCGCGUUGGAUUAGCUAGUUGGUGGGGUAAAGGCCCACCAAGGCGACGAUCCAUAGCUGGUCUGAGAGGAUGAUCAGCCACACUGGGACUGAGACACGGCCCAGACUCCUACGGGAGGCAGCAGUGGGGAAUAUUGGACAAUGGGCGAAAGCCUGAUCCAGCAAUACCGCGUGUAUGAAGAAGGCCCGAGGGUUGUAAAGUACUUUCAAUUGUGAAGAGGGGAUGGUUAGUUAAUAGCAUUCCAUCCUGACGUUAACUUUAGAAGAAGCACCGGCUAAUUCAGUGCCAGCAGCCGCGGUAAUACUGAAGGUGCAAGCGUUAAUCGGAAUUACUGGGCGUAAAGCGCGCGUAGGCGGUUAUUUAAGUCAGAUGUGAAAGCCCCGGGCUCAACCUGGGAACUGCAUUUGAUACUGGGUAACUAGAGUAUGUUAGAGGAAAGUGGAAUUCAGGGUGUAGCGGUGAAAUGCGUAGAUAUCCUGAGGAACACCAAUGGCGAAGGCAACUUUCUGGGACAAUACUGACGCUGAGGUGCGAAAGCGUGGGGAGCAAACGGGAUUAGAUACCCCGGUAGUCCACGCCGUAAACGAUGAGAACUAGUUGUCGGGAGGGUUUACCUUUCGGUGACGCAGCUAACGCAUUAAGUUCUCCGCC
This 845-nucleotide ribosomal RNA is filed under the name uncultured bacterium. Its description in RNAcentral is "bacterial SSU rRNA". It matches the Rfam family "Bacterial small subunit ribosomal RNA", at positions 35 to 873 of the family's 1533-position model. The record is from RNAcentral.